CGGAGCAAUCCUAGUAGAGCGGCGCACGGGUGCGUAACACGUGGGUAAUCUGCCUCGAAGCCCGGGAUAACCUGCCGAAAGGCAAGCUAAUACCGGAUAAGCCUCCGGGUUCCUCGGAACCUGAAGGAAAAGGUGGCCUCUAUUUAUAAGCUAUCACUUCGAGAUGAGCCCGCGGCCCAUCAGCUAGUUGGCGGGGUAACGGCCCACCAAGGCUACGACGGGUAGCUGGUCUGAGAGGACGAUCAGCCACACUGGAACUGAGACACGGUCCAGACUCCUACGGGAGGCAGCAGUGGGGAAUUUUGCGCAAUGGGCGAAAGCCUGACGCAGCAACGCCGCGUGUGUGAUGAAGGUCUUCGGA
RNAcentral lists this ribosomal RNA (361 nucleotides) under uncultured bacterium. RNAcentral describes it as "bacterial SSU rRNA". It matches the Rfam family "Bacterial small subunit ribosomal RNA", at positions 75 to 422 of the family's 1533-position model. The record is from RNAcentral.